GGCCUCGUAGCUUAGCCUGGCUUGAGCGCACGACUGAUAAUCGUGAGGUCCCCAGCAAACUUUUGGCGACGCAAAAGUUUGAUAAAAAGUCACUCUGGUGGGGCAUAAAGUCCCACGACAUACGAAAUGCCAAGAGUUUGGGGAAUUCAAAUCUGGGCGGGGCCA
RNAcentral lists this transfer RNA (165 nucleotides) under Candidatus Woesearchaeota archaeon. Its description in RNAcentral is "tRNA-Ile". The record is from RNAcentral. Lineage: Archaea; Nanobdellati; Candidatus Woesearchaeota.